This 424-nucleotide long non-coding RNA is filed under the name Ictidomys tridecemlineatus (thirteen-lined ground squirrel). RNAcentral describes it as "lncRNA (ENSSTOG00000033143.1)". The record is from RNAcentral. Lineage: Eukaryota; Metazoa; Chordata; Mammalia; Rodentia; Sciuridae.
GAAUUCAGUUGCCUCACAACCCUGGACCUAUCACUGUACAGUUUAUAAACCAGUGGAUGAACGAUACAGAUUAUUUUCUUGGGCAUCAUGAUCGGAAGAUGUGUAUAAUAGGACUGAGUAUCCUUUUUGAAUUGCAAAAUCGACCUCCUGCAGUAGAAGCUGUGGUGGGACAGAUUGUCCCUUCAAUACUUUUCCUUUUCCUUGGCCUAAAGCAGGUCUGUGCCAGUAGGCAACUGGUAAACCGGGAAGAUCGCUCAAAAGCAGAGAAAGUUGACAUAGAAGAAAAUGGUAAAGUCUUAUAUGGUGCUAGAAUUGAUUGUGAUUUGAGCAUUGUUUUCUUUGACUUUUAGUCUGUUUGGCUUCAUUAAACAGAUUUACAUUCUUUGGCUUGCUGAACAUUUGACAAAUCUCUUGGACUUGAUUG